CGGCAACAGCUACAACUUCGAUUCACGCAGCAGCAACUCCAAUUCGCGGUGGCGAUGCGGCGGCGGUGGCAAUUCCAGGAGAAAGAAAAACUGGAGAGAGAGAUAAAACACAGGACAAAACAACGUCGUUUUAUCCCACCUAAACGACGUUUUAUUAAUCGUCCGACAAUUCCACGUCAUUUUUCCGAUUGAGGUUGAAGACUAUGAAGAUGACGUGGAUGAUGUGGAGGCCAAUGGAGAUGACGUGGAUAAUGUGGACGCCAAUGAAGAUGGUGUGGAUGACGUGGACGCCAAUGAAGAUAGUGUGGAUGACAUGGACAAUGUGUGCAAUAGUGGAGAUGACAUGGCCGCCAUAGAGGUAGAAUAUAUAAAGAUCUUUAGAGAGGACGUUAUACGAGCCUAUAGAGAGGACGUAUAAACUAAUUGUUGGUUGUGAAUUCUAAUUUUGUCUGGUCUAAUUGUCAACUUAGCUCUUCACCUUGCUUUGAUUUUGUGAAGAUCCUCUCUAUAUAUCAAUUUAAUACAAUUACGUUUUUUUGUGUGCUUUGGACAUGAUAGCUCGAGCUCGAGCUCGAGUUCGAAUUGCAAGCAAAAGGCAGAGGCACAUAGCAUAGAUCCAUUGUGUCCUAUGGCAGAAGUGAAUAUUCUAGAAUCUCAAUUUGGAUCUGCUUUUGAUGAGCUCAACAAGGACAACAAUGUUGAAACAUGAUUUCACACUUAUGUUUGUGACUAGUUAAGACUUUCUAGUAUCAAUUUAUCUAUUUGUGAAAUUGCUUUUUUUUUUUAAUAAACUAGCAGUAUUUAAUAAAGAAAUUUAAAUGUCGCACCACAUGAAACUCGAACCGAAGACCUUUGGCCUUAAGUUGCUCAUAUCCAGUAUUAAUUUUAGUGUUCGUUGUUGUAAUUUGGCACUGAUCAUAAAUAGAGUGUUUUUCUUUAGCAAUAUAUUAACUUAGAAUUUUAUUAUAA
Long non-coding RNA from Salvia miltiorrhiza (redroot sage), 969 nucleotides. RefSeq lists it as uncharacterized. The transcript has 3 exons. The record is from RefSeq and is a predicted model, not a curated record. Lineage: Eukaryota; Viridiplantae; Streptophyta; Magnoliopsida; Lamiales; Lamiaceae.